UGGGGAAUAUUGGACAAUGGGGGGAACCCUGAUCCAGCCAUGCCGCGUGUGUGAAGAAGGCCUUAUGGUUGUAAAGCACUUUAAGCGAGGAGGAGGGUACUGGUAUUAAUACUACCAGGUACUAGACGUUACUCGCAGAAUAAGCACCGGCUAACUCUGUGCCAGCAGCCGCGGUAAUACAGAGGGUGCGAGCGUUAAUCGGAUUUACUGGGCGUAAAGCGUGCGUAGGCGGCUAAUUGAGUCGGAUGUGAAAUCCCCGAGCUUAACUUGGGAAUUGCAUUCGAUACUGGUUAGCUAGAGUGUGGGAGAGGAUGGUAGAAUUCCAGGUGUAGCGGUGAAAUGCGUAGAGAUCUGGAGGAAUACCGAUGGCGAAGGCAGCCAUCUGGCCUAACACUGACGCUGAGGUACGAAAGCAUGGGGAGCAAACAGG
This 430-nucleotide ribosomal RNA is filed under the name Pseudomonadota bacterium. Its description in RNAcentral is "Proteobacteria bacterium partial 16S ribosomal RNA". It matches the Rfam family "Bacterial small subunit ribosomal RNA", at positions 355 to 776 of the family's 1533-position model. The record is from RNAcentral. Lineage: Bacteria; Pseudomonadati; Pseudomonadota.